Molecule: long non-coding RNA, 1166 nt
Organism: Vigna unguiculata (cowpea)
Lineage: Eukaryota; Viridiplantae; Streptophyta; Magnoliopsida; Fabales; Fabaceae
Source: RefSeq, a predicted model, not a curated record
CAGACAGUGUUGAUCAAAUUGAUGCACAAAGGGUGCUAGGAUAUGUUCUUUUCAUGGAUGGGAAAAAAACUAAGCUGCCUUAUCCUUUGGAGAAGUUUCAUGCUGAAGUGGUUGGCAGGAGCUUCCAUGAUGGACGUUUUAUACAGAUGAUGAGAGAAAAGUGUACGAAUGGAGCAGGGCACUGUGACAUCUCUUCUUGAACAGGAUAACAAAACUGUUGUAGGGGCCCUGUACAGAACUAAAGGUGGUGAACAACUUAAAGCAUAUGCUCCCCUCACAGUUAUUUGCGAUGGUUGUUUCUCAAAUCUGCGUCGGUCUCUUUGCCACCCCAAGGUUAAAAUGUCUUCUAAAUAGUUGAGUGACAAUACUUUCCUUUUAGUGACACCAUAUAUCGUGCUUAUGAUCAAUUCAGACACAGUUUGUAGAUGUUAUGAAAUCUGGAGGAUUUGAUUCAUCAGUUUUGCACAAGUUUUGGCUCCCCUAAUAUGUUAUUAGCCACUUGCCAGGUUGAAGUACCCUCCUCUUUCGUGGGUUUAGUUCUGGAGAAUUGUCAACUCCCAUGGGCAUGUUAUUCAAGUUGAUCCUUCCCCUAUCUUAUUUUAUCGUAUCAGCAGCACUGAGGUUCGCUGCUUAGUUGAUAUACCAAGUCCAAAAGUCCCUCUUAUUUGGAGCGGAAUGGCCAAUUAUCUGAAGACUACAGUUGCUUCCCAGUGUGCGUUUGGCAUAAUAUUUCCAAUCAUCAAGGCUGAAGGAAUAAGACAAAUGUUUUUCCCCACAUCCAUAGCAGCUUUUUAUAGAGCUCCUCCUCACAGGUGAUGCAUUGAGGAUUAAGUAAUACUCACACUCCUCUCUCUACUAUGCAUUUUCAACUUCAAAUUAAGAGGAAUUUUGAUGGAGGCAAAGACAUUUGUUAUGCCACUUGGAUGAGGAGUUUCGAUGGGUUGUAGCAUUUAAUUCAUCAAUCCGCUUGGUUGUCAUUGUACCAAAAGAAACAGAGGCAUUGCCUUCAACCUGAAAAUUGUGAGCAUGUACCAUAAAUUCUAUUAUAUUUUCCUUGAACCAAAGAAGGAUACAUACAUUCUGGUUCUUAACUCAGAAUUAGACAGAAUCAUUGCGUACUUGUAACCAAAAGGAAACAAUACAUACGUUGAAGAAUAGUGUGGAAA